Molecule: ribosomal RNA, 777 nt
Filed under: Triticum aestivum (bread wheat)
Lineage: Eukaryota; Viridiplantae; Streptophyta; Magnoliopsida; Poales; Poaceae
Description: partial small subunit ribosomal RNA
Source: RNAcentral
AUGGAUCGUCAUUCAACUCCUACACGAAGCGACCUGGAGUGCAUGCUACGUGAUGAAAAGGCAGAACCGAAGGCCCUGCCAUUAUCACUCCUGGAAGAUAUCACUAAUGGAUUUUCUGAGGAGCGGGAAAUUGGCAGUGGUGGAUUUGCAGUGGUCUAUAAGGGAAUGCUUGAGAAUGGGGCGGCCGUUGCGGUGAAGAGGAUAUCCAUACCAUUUAUGUUUGAGAAAGAAUUCCACCGAGAGGUUGAAUGUCUGAUAAAGGCAAGUCACCAAAAUGUGAUACGAUUUAUUGGAUAUUGUGCUGACUCACAAGGGAAAGCUGAAAGCUAUGAUGGAAAAUUUGUGAUGGCAGAUGUACAACAAAGAUUACUCUGCUUUGAAUAUCUACCCCACGGAACUCUCGAUAAGUAUAUCACUGAUGUAUCUUGUGGACUUGACUGGAGAAAACGUUACAGGAUAAUCAAUGGGAUUUGCAAGGGAUUACACUACCUCCAUGAAAAUCGAAUUCUUCACCUGGAUCUUAAACCUCCAAACAUUUUGUUGGAUCAUAAUAUGCUACCAAAAAUUGCUGAUUUUGGUUUAUCAAGACGCUUUGAUGAAAAGCAAAGCCGGGCUAUUACUGCGAAUAUGUGUGGAACAUUUGGAUAUUUGGCACCAGAAUUCGUUAAUGGUGUAAUCACGUACCGGUUUGAUCUGUACAGUCUUGGUGUGAUAAUUAUAGAGAUACUCACCGGAAAGAAGGGGUACCACGAUGUUGAUGAUGUAAGAACAGUUUGA